UUUUUUUCUGAGAUGGUUUAUACAACUAUUAUUUUGAGUUGAGUUCAACCUGUAUGACAUGUUUGCCACAUGGCUCGGUGUUAGCAUAUUUAGCUUAGCAUGCUGAAUGUUUACGGAGUUGGAGAAAAAAAUCGAGCCGCUGAACAUUCAGUCAAAUUCUUGGCCAACUUAAAUAGAUUUGUAAUAAUCUGGAGUAUGUCUUUCAUGAUCUUGAGUGUUUACAUGAAUAUUGGUCAGAUUUAUGAUUAUAUAUGAUUAUGUUGUUGUUAGAAUUAUGUUUAUCAUUCUUACAUUUGUAAUUUUAUGUUACUAGUUUUUAUUUAGAGGUUUAGUAUUCAAAUUUGUUGAAACUGGGGAGACAAAAUUAAAUCUUCCUUAAUCAAGCAUGUUUGUACAGAUGGUGAGUUAGAUCUUCCUGGGAUAGUCCUGAGCUGUAAAACCUGUCUAUGUAUUAAUUUACUUUAUGCAUCUCCCCUCUGUCUGUCUGAAUUCACAUCCUACUGUGAAUUUAGGAUGUGGGUUUCACCCCAUACAUUCCUGUUCACACCUUUAGCAGUUCACCCUGCUAAUAAAAGAGACAAACAAACUGAAGGUUUUCAGAACACAUGCUGAGCGGCUUGGAGGAGCAGUUCACUGUGUCUCCUUCUGCAGAAGUUUGGUUGAAAACUCAUAUAUGUUAUCUGUGGUUCUCUUUUUUCAUGUAGGUUUAAGAAAAUACCUAUCAGUUGUGAUCCCGAUUUUUUUCUUUGGAAAAUCUGUAAAAGGCUUUUUCAUGUUGAAGGCAUAUUCCACACUGAUACCAGAUAUUAAAAUGAGUUUGUUUGUGGAAGAAUCACCAGUCAUCAGCAUCAGUCUCUCUCGCCCUCUCAGCCCUCUGUCGCUUCUUCCAAGAUUCAUCCUCCAAAUAUGGCUGGGUCUCUGAAACUCCACAUCUCUACCAACACUGGCUAUCUUACUUGGAGACUCAAAACUGUCCAAUGCAUGAGGAGCACGGUGAUGUCCCCGGCCAAACUUCAUGAACAGCCCAACAACCUGAAGACCGUCUGUGUUAGUGAGUGGACAGUCCUUUAGACCCUGUCUCUCAUUAGGCAUUCAGCAGAAACUGGGUAAGAAAUGAUGGCACUGAAUACAUGUGAAGUUAAAUCAGAAAAAAAGAAGAGAGAGAGAAAAAAGAAAGUAAAUAAAGUCAAAAGAAGGAAGAAAAGAUGUGCACUCAAUGUGUUCUACACUCACCUUAAAGAGGGAUAGACAAGGGGGAAAAAAGAUGAUAAGGCAGAAACUGUGUGUUAUGAGGUCAGACUGUUCUGGAGUUGACCGGGCCUCCAGCUUUGCCGGCCCAUUAACACCUGUAGGCAGCAAUGUUUGAACUGAAGCGUUGGAUUUUGGUUGUGACGUUUGGUAUUGAUUGCUUUUUGAUCUUUAUGGUUGAACUGAUUGUUGUGAGUUUGGUUGGUGGACUUGGGGGUUGAGGUUAAGUUCAACUAUUAACUAAUUGAGGGUUGGAUUAAGAAAAAUAAUAACGUGAAGCUAUUUAUAUAUUUAUAAAAUAAAUAUUUAUGAUUAAUAUUG
This is a non-coding RNA of Poecilia reticulata (guppy), 1569 nucleotides long. Lineage: Eukaryota; Metazoa; Chordata; Actinopteri; Cyprinodontiformes; Poeciliidae. The record is from RefSeq and is a predicted model, not a curated record.